This is a long non-coding RNA of Anastrepha obliqua, 519 nucleotides long. RefSeq lists it as uncharacterized. NCBI's taxonomy places the organism in Eukaryota, Metazoa, Arthropoda, Insecta, Diptera, Tephritidae. The transcript is spliced from 2 exons. The record is from RefSeq and is a predicted model, not a curated record.
AAAUGUAUACAUAAAAAAGGGACUACUAAAGCAACUUUGCUUUUUUUACUUCAUUGCCGACGAACAGAAUUGCCUCAUUCAUAUUUAAUGGCUGCUUGCGAAAAAUGCAGUGUAAUACUAUGCACAGUGUCUGUUUCUAUGGAUGGAGAUGCCUCAUCACAUACACCCCAACACUAACGAACAUUGAUAAUGCGGGUGGAAAUAGUGAAUAUUAUUUUGCAUUUUAUUUAUCGAAUAGUGCUAUGUAUAAAUACAAAUGCAUUUAAAUAGCGGACAAAAACGUAAUGAUGCUGAUGAUGGGAUAUGUGUGUGCAUGUGCAUGCAACUCAUGCCUAUAAAUUAGUUUGGAACCUACCGCACAAUUUAAAUGGGAAAUGUAGAACAUUGCUGUGGCUCUAUUUGGUGUAAAUAUAAAAUACUUUCUUCGUUGCUAGUGCUGGAAUUUUAAAACUUGUUAUUAUAUAAGUUGAAAAAAUAAGUAAAUAAAUAAAAUACUUUGUAUGUGUAAUAUAUGAUAAA